This 226-nucleotide ribosomal RNA is filed under the name Cyphomyrmex laevigatus. RNAcentral describes it as "partial large subunit ribosomal RNA". Lineage: Eukaryota; Metazoa; Arthropoda; Insecta; Hymenoptera; Formicidae. The record is from RNAcentral.
GAAUUUUAUAUAGAUUUAUUUUAGAGAAAAAAUAAAAUUAAUUUAAUAAUAAAUUUUAUAUUUAAUUGGGAGGAUUAUUAAAUUAAUAAAACUUUAAUUAUAAAAUACAUAAAUGAAUGGGAAGAAUUUAAGUAAAAAGAAUGAUUAGUAAAUUAAAAAAAAAUUAAUUACCUUAGGGAUAACAGCGUAAUAUUUUUAGAUAGAUCAUAUAUAUAAAAAUGAUUGU